CACCAUCCGUUAUCGCUCCUUCUUUCUUCAUCUUGGUUUCCAUUCCAAUUUGAACGAAAUUGCAUUCCCUUUUACUCUCCACCACCGUAAAGUCGUAAUAUAUUUAUUUGCUCUUUGCUCUUUCUGGAAUAUAUUUAUUGCCUUUUCUUCUCUUCUUGGCUUUGCUUCGUCUCUGCUUCCACUUGUUGAAGAGUUCGUGCUGUCCAAUUGGUCUUUCAUUUCAACCAGAUUUUCGGAUUGCACCUGCCUCUUCUGUUUAUUCUGCGUUUCCUUUUGUCUUCUGCAGCUUCCCCCCAGUGCCAUAGCAGCAGGUGCUGUCUGUUAUGCUUUUUUAUGUCAAAAGUUUGAAGCUUUCCUAAAACCAACAACAAAAUUCGCAGAACGAAACCGGUUCAAGAGGCAAGCAAGUAGCCGGCAUUUAACAGUGAACAAAGCUAAAUGAAGCAAAAGGCAAAAGCAAAGCAAAACUUGGAGACAGAAAAGCUCUCCGCUCUGCAGUGCUCUGCUCUGCGCGGCUUAGUGAAGCACUCAAAACUAUGUUUUCUGAAUUUAUCGCGUAAUUUUCCACUUAUGCAGGCAAUUUGCACAAGACGAUGAUGAUGAUGAUUGUUGAUUCCAACUAAGGUCACAUUAUGCACUUCAUAAAAAAAGCCUGCGGAUCUGGGAGUGACUCAGCCUCAAGUCGGGUGGCUCUCAAAUGUUUAACACUUGUCUUGGGGCAACACACAGUAGCCACAACGAGGAGCAAAUAAACAAACUGGCAAAGCCACAGAAGAGUGAGAGAGAGCAGUAGAAUAAGCUUUGUCAGGGGAAUGACUAAUACUAGAAACAAAAACAAAAGGGGGACGAAGAAAUGAAGUAACACGCGAUUCCAGAGGUGUCAAAUUACGACGUCGAAAGCUCAAGAAAAGUAAACAAAUAUUGAACUUGGAAUUGGAAAUAAUGCGACACGACACCCACCGAAGGGGUUUACGGUUCACGAUCGAACACAAUGUUCCAUCUCUUCUUUCGACCUGCUUCCGUUCCAUUAAUUAACCCAUUUCCAGACGAAUGUAUUUGUAUUACAAACCCUUAGCACCUCAUGAAGAGGGAAAUUGGAAAUUAAUAACUUCCGUCCAAACAAAAACAAAGGGAAUAAGAGUUCAAUAGGCAUACACACGCAUGAUAGGGCCCCACCCAACAGAACGCCUCCCAUCACGCACUCUUGUCAUCGAGGUCGGAAUAUAAACACACGCACGACGACGACAACCGACCAUAUGGGGAUGUCCAGCCAAUCCCCAAACAAUCCCAUUCCAUAUACAUAGUAUAGUAGGAAGAGAACAUUUUGGUGUGUGGUGUUGCAUGCAAUGAAUCUCAACCAUUUCGAUAGAAUUUCAUUCCAGUGGAAGAAACAUCUGCCCUGAGGCUCAGAAAGAAACCAGUCCGACAGCUGUUCGAGAGAGCCGGCGGACGGAGAACAGGUAUCUCAAUGUCAGCGGUACGGUACCCACACUCAUUCAUGCGAAUCGUGUGGCGUUUACCCACACACAGUUAAGUCCACGAAAUAUGGCCAAUUACUGGGCUAAAUGAAAAAGCAAGUUAGAACGUUAUUGUCGAUAUAUGGACAAUUCGAGACCCGCUACAUACCCCGAAACGUCCUCUCAAAUUGUGUGCAAUACCUAUCCGUUGAGAAUGAUUUUCUGAUGAUCGAUUGAGCGUUGUAAAUACCACAUAGCUAUAUCUCGCUCCUCUAUGCCAACCACAAGCACCGGGUGCAACGAAUAAUUAGGUAAUGCGUGACACAGAUAAUUGCAGUCGCCCUGCCCACGCACUCCGCUAACAGUCCAGACACUCAAUUACCGCAAGCUGCAAGUCGGUGGAGCGGCAGACACCACGCAACGCAACCUGUCCACCUCUGCGUGGACACAAGAUGUCAGAGGGAGCUGCCACGCUGCUGACAGAAGGUGAAAACAACAGGCAGAACAACCGCAACAAACCGCAGCCAGAGACAACACGUGAGGGAGAAAGAGAGAGACAGAGAAAGGCAGGAGACAAAAGUGGAGCAGCACGGACCACGUGGGGUUCAGAGGGGGAGUAGCUGCUGACGCGAUGGUGAUGAUGAUUUGACAGACAUUGCGAGACACUCUGCAAAUACGACAAUAGAAUGUAGAGCAGCGAGAGAUAAAGCAUGUUCUAAGCUUUCCAUUCCACUGUGCCUGACCUGCUCUUUCCAGAGCCUCACGGAGAGAGAGGCGUCGACUCAAAUGUGGGUGACAGGAGGAGAAAAAACGAGAGACUUGAGGGUGGAUUUGUUGUAUAAUUGAAAGCGUUGUACAACGACAGUGAGGCUGGCAAAAGCAGAGGAAGGAGGAAGAAGAAGAGCGAAAGACGGGCGAGCACACAGCGACAACACGUGCACAAUCUCCGUCAUGCAAGGGAAUGCAUUUGUGAGAGAGCGAUCCAAGGAGCCCGGGCCACGACAGCGACAGUGGGAGACAAAGAAAAAGGAGGAGACACAAGAAGGAAGAACGAGGAUGAAGAAGAUCAAAACAAGCAUACGCGCUUUGCAUAUUAAAUCGAGUUGACGUCGUCACCGCCACCGCCACCGUCGCCGUCGCCGGCGCAUUAAUUAAGCCAGACGUAAAAAAAUACUUGUUUAAAAAAUACCUACAUACUCGUAUAUCCUGCAGAUUGUGGAGAUGCAAAUGAUACAAGCACGAUGGACAAGUUGGCAGCCCCCGAAAAAAACGAAACGUGACUCAGGCAGGAAAAAAAAGCAUAAAGGUACUGAUGGGGAGGGAGAUGGUGUGGAGAGAAGAGGAGUGCAGAGGAGACAACGUGCCUGGACGUACACAUCCAUACCUUGUCGUAGAUGAUGUCUCUGCCUGAUAAGUGUCGCCUCAUUCUGGAAUUGGGGUUCGGUUCGAGUUCGGCUCGAACGGAGGAACGGAGGAGAAACGACAAGAAUUGGUAGAUGGGGGGCGCCAAAACGAUGUUAAUCUUUUCCCCUCUUCCCGCCAACUCUUCCACCAAAUCGGACUGAUUUUCGAGAUUUCUCUGUCUUGUAUUUGGAAGAUAAAAGAGUUUUCAAUUUAACGGAACAUAUAUUUUCAUUAAAAUGUGGAUAUAUGUAUUUAUAAAUGAGCCACA
Drosophila pseudoobscura is the source of this 3129-nucleotide long non-coding RNA. RefSeq lists it as uncharacterized. The record is from RefSeq and is a predicted model, not a curated record. The transcript is spliced from 3 exons. NCBI's taxonomy places the organism in Eukaryota, Metazoa, Arthropoda, Insecta, Diptera, Drosophilidae.